This 468-nucleotide ribosomal RNA is filed under the name uncultured bacterium. RNAcentral describes it as "partial 16S ribosomal RNA". It matches the Rfam family "Bacterial small subunit ribosomal RNA", at positions 28 to 507 of the family's 1533-position model. The record is from RNAcentral.
GACGAACGCUGGCGGCGUGCUUAACACAUGCAAGUCGAACGGAAAGGCCCUGCUUUUGUGGGGUGCUCGAGUGGCGAACGGGUGAGUAACACGUGAGUAACCUGCCCUUGACUUUGGGAUAACUUCAGGAAACUGGGGCUAAUACCGGAUAGGAGCUCCUGCUGCAUGGUGGGGGUUGGAAAGUUUCGACGGUUGGGGAUGGACUCGCGGCUUAUCAGCUUGUUGGUGGGGUAGUGGCUUACCAAGGCUUUGACGGGUAGCCGGCCUGAGAGGGUGACCGGCCACAUUGGGAAUGAGAUACGGCCCAGACUCCUACGGGAGGCAGCAGUGGGGAAUAUUGCACAAUGGGCGGAAGCCUGAUGCAGCAACGCAGCGUGCGGGAUGACGGCCUUCGGGUUGUAAACCGCUUUCGCCUGUGACGAAGCGUGAGUGACGGUAAUGGGUAAAGAAGCACCGGCUAACUACGUG